This is a non-coding RNA of Schistosoma curassoni, 46 nucleotides long. NCBI's taxonomy places the organism in Eukaryota, Metazoa, Platyhelminthes, Trematoda, Strigeidida, Schistosomatidae. The record is from Rfam.
GCAUAGCUGAGGAGUCCAACAGUAGGACGAAACGGCCGUCUAGUAC